UAAAAACUUCAAUCACCAUAACCAUUCCAAUAUAUUUACUUCUUUUAAAACUAAAUUGCUCAUUACCAUUAUGAGUCCUAGGUCAAAUGUUGAAUACCUCCUCUUGGGAACCCACUUGGCUGGAUCUUUCUAAUGGAGGGAGCCUUACAGUGAUACUAUCUCUAGAGGAGAUUCCACGGAAACUUAGCCUACAAUGACCUCUGACCUACAGUGAAACCAGAAUGGCCACACACCUUGUUCCAAACCUGCCUCCCCACCUUUCUGGUCUUCCUUCAGCCACCGAUCUCCGCUUGGCUGGAUGACCUUCCAUAAUGGAAUUUCUCAGAGGUGGACAAUUUCCCAUAAUAUGAUUUCUCAGUUCUAUUGUAAGUACAAUAUGUUUGGAUUUAUUGUGCAUUUUACCUCUUAUAUUUUUCAACUCAACAUGAAUGACAUUUAAAAGGGAUAUAGCAAGAUAUUUUUGUUAGAGAAUAUCUCCUGGUCACCUAUUGCUCUUUAUGAAUCUAUGACAGAUUACUUACUUUAUAUUUUCCAGAUAAUAUCUUCAAAUAAUGAAAAGAUAAAAAUCAGAUGUUAUACCUAAGAAAUCUUAACAUUAGCAAGAAAUUCCUCAGUAGAUUCUGUUUCAGGCCCCAUAUCUCCCCUUGGUCUGUGCUGCUUAAUAUUGAUGGAAGAAAGAAUCAGUGUUUUAAUGUCUCUCUGGCAGUACCAGGUAGCUUGGCAUCAAAACUGAAUUACAAAAGUGUGGUCUCAAAACUUACUUGGGUUCUCAGAAUUUCUGGUAAUUAUUUCCUGUAUCCCUAGCAGCAUUUAUUUAUUUAUGUUAUGUGUCCAAGACAACUUAACAUAGUAGGUGAGAACAUGAAGUCUAAUGCCAGACAGCAUGAGUUUGAAACUUGGUUCUGCAGUUACUAGUUAAACAGCCUUCAAUAAGAACAUUUUUUAAAACUUAUUUUUAAGUACUUGGGUGUUAGACCAGGAUGCAAGAAAAGACCACUGACUCCAAUUAAAAUCAAAUUAAAGCAAGCUUAUUAUUUCGACCGGCUGGGCUGCCUCUCCCUCCCCAAACCGCGGGAACAAGACAGCAACCCCAGCUUUCCUGCAGCCCAGCUUUAUAGCCCAGAAAGUUACACAAAGGGGGGUUACAGAUAACAGAACUCUGUCAAGCAUCACACUAAUGGUAGUUUACAUUUUUUGCUAGCCCCAACAUCAGAAUUUAUGAGGACCAUUAGAGCCUCAGAGAGGGCCGUUAUCUGGCCAGGGAAGGCCAAUAUUUAUGAGGUGUCACUAAAGUUUCAGAGAGGGCUGCUAUCUGGUCAGAGAGCCAGGCAUGGGUGAGUUCAAGGCACGGGCAGGCAUUCCAAGCAGGUUCAGAAUUUGCAGUAAUUUAUAGUAAAG
Molecule: long non-coding RNA, 1398 nt
Filed under: Marmota monax (woodchuck)
Lineage: Eukaryota; Metazoa; Chordata; Mammalia; Rodentia; Sciuridae
Source: RNAcentral